AGAGUUUGAUCAUGGCUCAGGACGAACGCUGGCGGCGUGCCUAAUACAUGCAAGUCGAGCGAGCUUGCCUAGAUGAUUUUAGUGCUUGCACUAAAUGAAACUAGAUACAAGCGAGCGGCGGACGGGUGAGUAACACGUGGGUAACCUGCCCAAGAGACUGGGAUAACACCUGGAAACAGAUGCUAAUACCGGAUAACAACACUAGACGCAUGUCUAGAGUUUGAAAGAUGGUUCUGCUAUCACUCUUGGAUGGACCUGCGGUGCAUUAGCUAGUUGGUAAGGUAACGGCUUACCAAGGCAAUGAUGCAUAGCCGAGUUGAGAGACUGAUCGGCCACAUUGGGACUGAGACACGGCCCAAACUCCUACGGGAGGCAGCAGUAGGGAAUCUUCCACAAUGGACGAAAGUCUGAUGGAGCAACGCCGCGUGAGUGAAGAAGGGUUUCGGCUCGUAAAGCUCUGUUGGUAGUGAAGAAAGAUAGAGGUAGUAACUGGCCUUUAUUUGACGGUAAUUACUUAGAAAGUCACGGCUAACUACGUGCCAGCAGCCGCGGUAAUACGUAGGUGGCAAGCGUUGUCCGG
This 580-nucleotide ribosomal RNA is filed under the name uncultured bacterium. Its description in RNAcentral is "bacterial SSU rRNA". It matches the Rfam family "Bacterial small subunit ribosomal RNA", at positions 8 to 548 of the family's 1533-position model. The record is from RNAcentral.